GGUUCAUGUUCACAAGGAUGGAUAGCAUUAAGAAAUAGCUGUUAUAAAAUGAGCAAAGAGAGUAUGCCAUGGAAUAUAGGCCAGCGACAUUGUAGGUUAUCCUUAAGUUCUGCACACCUCGUGGAUAUAAAAAAUGAAGAGGAAAAAAAAUUUAUAUUUUCACUUCUCAGGUCAAAGAAUCAAAUAAUUAUAUGGACUGGUCUUAAUGAUAUAAAGAAAGAAGGUCAUCUCACAUGGACAGAUGGAUCAUCUUUUGGCCUUAAGAAAAGUGAAAUCUUUUCUUUUCCACUGCUACCCAAGAAUGAAACAGAUUGCUACAUUUUACAGCAAAAUGCAACUGGAACAAACUAUUUCUUUACAAGAUUUUUCUGCUAUGUUCCAUUGCCAUAUAUUUGCAAAUAUGAAUCACCUUCUCUGCAGGAAAACCUUUUGAUCUAUAUAAAGGAUGUUGGAACAACUGAAGUUGUAUUUAGUUGGCAUAAUUUGAAUGCUUGGAAUAAUUUGAAUGAGUGGCUAAAACUGGGAUAUAAAAUUAUCAUCAAGUAUUAUUUAGAUUAUACAGAAGAACAAUAUUUUGAAAGCAUAUCCCCAAAUACUACAGAAAAAACAAUUACCCAGUUGUUUCCUGGCCAUAUUUACAGAUUUUUACUCUUUGCGAUAAACAAAUGGGAGGCAAAAACUAUGUUAAGUUCAGUAUUCGUUGUUGAAACACGCCCAUUAUCAGCUCAAAAUGUCACAAUUACUCGUGUGACCCCAACAGAAAUAUUUUUACACUGGAAUCCUCCAGAUCUUGUAUCUUUUCACCAUUAUCUUGUGACUAUUUUGGAUGUGGAAAACAAUAAAUCAGAAGAGGUGCUUGUUGAAAAACUCAACACAUCAAUGAAAAUCGGAGAUCUGAAAUCUUUCCAUCAUUAUCUGAUAUACCUAUUCAGUGUGGCAGAAAGAGGAACUUUAAGCUGCUCUGAGAGACCUAUUUCAGGUGUUACAGGUAUUAAUUCCUCCUCAGAAAGUUCAUGCUAAACCUGAAGAUGUGGGAGAGGACAGUAUAGUUCUUCAGUGGGAAUCCCCACCAGAUGGCCGAAGUCUACAUCAAAUCAAACCC
Molecule: long non-coding RNA, 1102 nt
Filed under: Ursus americanus (American black bear)
Lineage: Eukaryota; Metazoa; Chordata; Mammalia; Carnivora; Ursidae
Description: lncRNA (ENSUAMG00000010555.1)
Source: RNAcentral